AUUGCAGCCAGAGUGGAAGCAGCCCCUUCCAGCAGACCCUGACCACCUUCCAGCGCGCACUCACCACCAUGCAGAUCCAGGUCGCGGGGCUGCUGCAGUUUGCCGUGCCCCUCUUCUCCACUGCAGAGGAAGACCUGCUUGCAAUCCAGCUCCUGCUGAACUCCUCAGAGUCCAGCCUUCACCAGCUGACCGCCAUGGUGGACUGCCGAGGGCUGCACAAGGUGCAUGGGGACCCUGGGGGCACGUGGAGAGUGUGAGAGCACCCAGCAGGCCACACCUUCCAGAGAAAAGUGGGUAGAGGCCGAGGGGGGUGAUGGCCUGGGUCCCCUUCCGGCCCAGGAAUGGAACUGAAGCCAGAUAAUGGGAAGGGAGGGGGUGCCUGGCCUCUCCAGGGUCUGAGACAGGGAGACUCAGUACAAGGGACCAGGGGUUCGGGAUGGGAGGGUGGGAUGCGGUUGGCUCUGGAUCACUGGGGGACCCUGAACAAUGCAAGGGAGGCUGUUCCCCAUUGUUCAGACUCCUGGCCAUUUCCUCAACACAUCUGUCUCCCUGGGUUGCAAGUGGAUGUCCCAAUCCCAUUGCCAGAGUCUUCUU
RNAcentral lists this small RNA (594 nucleotides) under Pan troglodytes (chimpanzee). RNAcentral describes it as "retained intron". The record is from RNAcentral. Lineage: Eukaryota; Metazoa; Chordata; Mammalia; Primates; Hominidae.